GACGAACGCUGGCGGCGUGCUUAACACAUGCAAGUCGAGCGGUAAGGCCCUUUCGGGGGUACGACGAGCGGCGAACGGGUGAGUAACACGUGGGUGACCUGCCCUCAGCUCUGGGAUAAGCCUGGGAAACUGGGUCUAAUACCGGAUAUGACUCCAUGACGCAUGUUGUGGGGUGGAAAGCCCUGUGCGGCCGAGGAUGGGCCCGCGGCCUAUCAGCUUGUUGGUGGGGUGAUGGCCUACCAAGGCGACGACGGGUAGCCGGCCUGAGAGGGCGACCGGCCACACUGGGACUGAGACACGGCCCAGACUCCUACGGGAGGCAGCAGUGGGGAAUCUUGCGCAAUGGGCGAAAGCCUGACGCAGCGACGCCGCGUGAGGGAUGACGGCCU
Molecule: ribosomal RNA, 389 nt
Filed under: uncultured bacterium
Lineage: Bacteria
Description: bacterial SSU rRNA
Rfam family: Bacterial small subunit ribosomal RNA
Source: RNAcentral